This 397-nucleotide ribosomal RNA is filed under the name uncultured bacterium. Its description in RNAcentral is "partial 16S ribosomal RNA". It matches the Rfam family "Bacterial small subunit ribosomal RNA", at positions 523 to 918 of the family's 1533-position model. The record is from RNAcentral.
AUACGUAGGGGGCGAGCGUUGUCCGGAAUGAUUGGGCGUAAAGGGCGCGUAGGCGGCGCGGUAAGUCUGGAGUGAAAGUCCUGCUUUCAAGGUGGGAAUUGCUUUGGAUACUGCCGCGCUUGAGUGCAGGAGAGGUUAUCGGAAUUCCCGGUGUAGCGGUGAAAUGCGUAGAGAUCGGGAGGAACACCAGUGGCGAAGGCGGGUAACUGGACUGCAACUGACGCUGAGGCGCGAAAGUGUGGGGAGCAAACAGGAUUAGAUACCCUGGUAGUCCACGCUGUAAACGAUGGGUACUAGGUGUAGGAGGUAUCGACCCCUUCUGUGCCGGAGUUAACGCAAUAAGUACCCCGCCUGGGGACUACGGUCGCAAGACUAAAACUCAAAUGAAUUGACGGGG